GACGAACGCUGGCGGCGUGCUUAACACAUGCAAGUCGAACGGAAAGGCCUCUUUCGGGGGGUACUCGAGUGGCGAACGGGUGAGUAACACGUGAGUAACCUGCCCUUGACUUUGGGAUAACUUCAGGAAACUGGGGCUAAUACCGGAUAGGAGCUCCUGCUGCAUGGUGGGGGUUGGAAAGUUUCGGCGGUUGGGGAUGGACUCGCGGCUUAUCAGCUUGUUGGUGGAGUAGUGGCUUACCAAGGCUUUGACGGGUAGCCGGCCUGAGAGGGUGACCGGCCACAUUGGGACUGAGAUACGGCCCAGACUCCUACGGGAGGCAGCAGUGGGGAAUACUGCACAAUGGGUGGAAGCCUGAUGCAGCAACGCCGUGUGCGGGAUGACGGCCUUCGGGUUGUAAACCGCUUUCGCUCAUGACGAAGCUUUGUGUGACGGUAGUGGGUAAAGAAGCACCGGCUAACUACGUG
RNAcentral lists this ribosomal RNA (467 nucleotides) under uncultured bacterium. Its description in RNAcentral is "partial 16S ribosomal RNA". It matches the Rfam family "Bacterial small subunit ribosomal RNA", at positions 28 to 507 of the family's 1533-position model. The record is from RNAcentral.